Haliotis rubra (blacklip abalone) is the source of this 1805-nucleotide long non-coding RNA. RefSeq lists it as uncharacterized. The record is from RefSeq and is a predicted model, not a curated record. Lineage: Eukaryota; Metazoa; Mollusca; Gastropoda; Lepetellida; Haliotidae. The transcript is spliced from 3 exons.
GACCGCCGCCAUAUAGCUGGAAUAUUGCGGAGUGCAGCGUAUAACUAAACUCACUCACUCACUCUGAUUGAUAUACUGUUGUAGCUGUGUUAACUGUUAAAGCCUACUGUCUACUAUGCCAUGAUCUUGCUAAGGAAUUACUAUAGAGGUGGCUGCAGUUUCUUGACAGAUGGUAAUACACUACAAUUGUGGUGAAGUUGAGAGUGAAGUCUGAAUGUACCACGAACUUCAAUAUUCUGGUACCCAUCUUGCCUGUUAAAUCCUACUGUCAGCUGGUACAGGUGUUUGUGAUGAACACUAAAGUAGGUACUGCAGCCUCUGGACACAAAUGUGUUGAAGUUCCUACCAAUGACAGAUCCUAUUAUUGGCUGUGCCCAGAACUGCAGUAUUCCGCCUCCAUUGCCUUGCCAUGAACAUUGUGCCGAAUCCGAGACACCAAGUGCACCAUGAACUGUACAAUAGUCAGCUGCCCGUCCUCGAUGGUUGGUGAACAGUUAGACAGCUGAGCGACCAAUUGUUAACUUACCAGUAUUCAAGGACCCAUCUUUCCGGAUCCUUGCCAGCAGAUUAAGAAUGUGAUACAGCUCUUGCCAUGAGAUUAUGGAAUAGCUUCAGCUGGUCAGUACAGUCCAGGGGGAUCUCAUAACCAAACUCACUUCAAUGUCUCAUAGCACUCAGCUCCUCCCAAUCGCCUUUGAUGGGAACGUUUCAUCCCACAGGCGACGUUGUUGGCAGUGUGAACAGUGUGGCAAGUCGUUCACCACGCAGGAGACAAAGCGACAUCAUAUCGAGGCGGUCCACAUGAAUGUUACCUAUCCUUGUGUGUGUGGAAAGGUCUACCGAUAUCCGAGGAAUAUCCGGAGGCACAAGAAGGAUUGUAGUGUUUUCAAGUUAAUGGGAGACCAUCAGAACCUAAAUUGAUAAAGGCUUGGUAAUGAUGAACCAAGGUGAAAGUGGCUAUACCCCAAGGAGCCAUGCUACUGGUUCAAGUAUGUAUGUGAACUCUUUGAUCAGGGGGCAAUAGUCCACUGUUUCCCUUGGGCAGAGCUCGAGGACCUUCAGGAGGACCUUCAGGAGGCCCUAGUCUUUCCUGGAAGAAGUAUCAGUGUGAAGACUGUGGCAAGACCUUCACUAACCCCUGGAACAAGAAGAUUCACAAAGAAGCCAUGCAUCAAAAUGUCACGUACACUUGUGUCUGUGGGAAGGUGUUCCGAUAUCCUCACAACUUGACUACUCACAAAAAGAGUUGUCCUGUGUAUAUUCAGAUGUCUGCUACCUCAGGAAGCAUGUAAAAAGUCCUUCUUUCAGCCGAGCACUCUCUUUCAAUUCUGAGAUGUUUCCACUGCUGAUUUGUUACUUCUUGAAGGAAGACAUUAUGUUUUCUAAUGGUUCAUACUUUCCACUGUCCUUGUGGGUUUUUUUUUUUAACUCUGUUUGGGGCAGAACAUGACUGAAUGAAUAAUCACAGCAAGAAUCAUUGUUUUGAGUUAAGUGUUGUGGCUUUGAAAGUUCACCAAUGCUGGAGGAAUCAGUGUUAAUUUUAGUUAUUUUUAUGUGGAAAAAUAAUCAUAACCUUGCAUAAAGUGGUGUACAGUUUUAUUUCCACGUUGAAAUCUGAUGUCACAGUUUCAGUAUUCGGUUUUAUAAUGGAGGUGUCAGUAACAGGAUCAUGAUGAGGAGAGCCCAUAUCAUGACGUGGGUGAGUGUUUCAGGGAUGGAAAGAACUAUAAAAUUGCUAGUGUAUUCCAGUACAGUGGCACAUGUAAAGUCAAUUGCCCUGAUAAUUUUUCCAUUAUUCCGACCGU